Molecule: long non-coding RNA, 241 nt
Organism: Ruditapes philippinarum (Manila clam)
Lineage: Eukaryota; Metazoa; Mollusca; Bivalvia; Venerida; Veneridae
Exons: 2
Source: RefSeq, a predicted model, not a curated record
UUCAGCCUUACACACGGUAUGGUAUACGUUUUUGAAAGUUGUUGCCCUUUACUACUCUCCAACAAUGUCAAGAAUCGGCACUUUAAAGAACAGUGUGAGUUUCAUCACUGGGGGAGCAUCAGGGCUCGGGAAGGCAGCUGCUAGGAGAUUCGUUGAGCAAGGUGGUAAAGUUGUCAUAUGUGACCUCCCUAAAUCAGAUGGAAGUCAAGUUGCUAGUGAGCUUGGAGAUAACUGUAUGUUU